This 195-nucleotide ribosomal RNA is filed under the name Triticum aestivum (bread wheat). Its description in RNAcentral is "partial small subunit ribosomal RNA". The record is from RNAcentral. Lineage: Eukaryota; Viridiplantae; Streptophyta; Magnoliopsida; Poales; Poaceae.
AUGUCACCGACUUGGGGCCGCUCCAGUCGGUCUCGGGCACGUGGAGGUCGUGGACGACGUCAAGGAAGCCGUAGGGCAGCACAAGCAGCUCGGGAAGGCCGUUCGCCAUGGCCACGGCGAGGUGGUGGUUGCGCUCGGCCAAACGAGGGGGAGGAAGAGGGGCGCGGCGAGCUGCUUGGGAGAACGAAGGGAUGA